AGUUUUUUGUUAUUUUAAUAAAAAAUGAUUUCUGCUCGGUGAUUUUUAACAGCCGCGGUAAUUUGACCGUGCAAAGGUAGCAUAAUCAUUUGCUUCGUAAUUGGGGGCUAGAAUGAAUGGAAUUACAAAAUGUAAGCUUUAUUUAAAAGAUGAUAAGAAUUUGCUUUUUUAGUGAAGAAGCUAAAAUUUGUUUAAAAGACAAGAAGACCCUUUUGAGCUUUAUUACUUUUUUAGAUUUUUUCUAUUAGGUAAUUUGGUUGGGGCGACCGAGGAAGAGUUUAAAUCUUCCUUUUAAUAAUUUUGAUCCAUGGAUUGUGAUUAAUAGAUUAAGUUACCAAAGGGAUAACAGCGUUAUUUUUUUUGAGAGUUCUUAUUAAAAAAAAAGAUUGCGACCUCGAUGUUGACUUAUAAUUUCCUUUUGGUGUAGCCGCUAAUAGGGUGGGUCUGUUCGACCUUUAAAAUUUU
Molecule: ribosomal RNA, 465 nt
Filed under: Tetrastemma merula
Lineage: Eukaryota; Metazoa; Nemertea; Enopla; Monostilifera; Tetrastemmatidae
Description: partial large subunit ribosomal RNA
Rfam family: Bacterial large subunit ribosomal RNA
Source: RNAcentral